AAGCGAGAGAACGUUGCGCCAGCAACGGCCCGCAGGGCGAGCCACGAAGUGGCGAGUAAUCCUCUAUCACCGACCA
Molecule: small RNA, 76 nt
Filed under: Escherichia coli
Lineage: Bacteria; Pseudomonadati; Pseudomonadota; Gammaproteobacteria; Enterobacterales; Enterobacteriaceae
Also listed under: 2 other names
Description: partial RtT sRNA
Rfam family: RtT RNA
About the family: This family represents a bacterial cis-regulatory element known as RtT RNA. The exact function of RtT is unknown although it is thought that it may be involved in changing the cellular response in relation to amino acid starvation.
Source: RNAcentral